GGCCUCGCGGCGCGGGCGGACGGGCGCGCCCGGCUGGUGACCGCGCCCAACUCCGGCUUCUGAGGCCGGGGAGGACA
This 77-nucleotide transfer RNA is filed under the name Kitasatospora phosalacinea. RNAcentral describes it as "tRNA-Thr". Lineage: Bacteria; Bacillati; Actinomycetota; Actinomycetes; Kitasatosporales; Streptomycetaceae. The record is from RNAcentral.